RNAcentral lists this non-coding RNA (48 nucleotides) under Schistosoma mansoni. Lineage: Eukaryota; Metazoa; Platyhelminthes; Trematoda; Strigeidida; Schistosomatidae. The record is from RNAcentral.
AUUCAGCUGACGAGUCCCAAAUAGGACGAAACGUGUGUCAAACUGGAU